AAUAUUAUCUUCUAUUGACAGAGCCCUCAUAAAUGAACUGAUAUCAAGAAUUAAUAUUGAUGGUGAUGGUGGCAAGGGUGCCUCUGUAAGGUGCCAUCCAGGAGUCCCGUCCUGGAGCCAGAGGCUGCUAUUGCAAGACAGAUGGGGGAUGAUCCGCAGGCAAAGAUGCGACUAGACACUUGUACUGCGAAAGGUACCAUCAGAGCACCUGUCCCUACCCCGCAGGAUAUCUAUACCAGAAGAGUACAACAACGGCCCAAAACUAUUUCAAAAGACAUUUCACGCCCUGACCAUGGACUGUUUAAACCACUGAGGUCAAGCAGACGUCUCUGUUCCCACAUGGCUAAAACAGACUGAAGAUGAGUUUCCUUACUCAAGCCAUCUGCAUCCCUAACACACAUAACUCUUUGAAUUACUUUACAUAGACUUGCCAUACUGCACUUAAACACACACUGCACUUUUAACCUCCUGGGUCAUUCUGUGUCAACUCAGAUAAGGUUGUUGCUGCACUGUCUCAGGUUUUGUUCAAACCAUGUCUAUAUCAAGAAUGGCUCCCAAAACAAAGGCCUGUAUACUUCUGUUCAAAUCCUACCAAAUAAGUAUUUAUCAAUGAAUGAAACAUGGUACAUCAUUGGAAUUUUAAACAAUAAAUUAUUA
Molecule: long non-coding RNA, 657 nt
Organism: Sardina pilchardus (European sardine)
Lineage: Eukaryota; Metazoa; Chordata; Actinopteri; Clupeiformes; Clupeidae
Exons: 3
Source: RefSeq, a predicted model, not a curated record